ACACUCAGGGAGACUGGACUUAAACAGCUACACCACCAGAAGCCGAGAGAGAGGCUGGAACAUAGCCUUCCCUUUGGAGGCAGCCUGGUCCGGUGGGCACUGUGAUCUCAGACUUCCAGCCUUCAGAACUACAAGCAAAGUGGAUCAGCAAAGGCUGCAGUCACCAGCAUCUUUUCCAUCCUUAAUUAACUGCAUCCUCAAAAGAACACUAUCAGACUGGUAAGACAAGCAUUAUUGUCCCACUUCACAGAUGAAGAGCUUGGGGGCCCUGUGGAUGUGUAGGAGAGUCGGCCUUCCUUUUUAUAGGCC
RNAcentral lists this long non-coding RNA (309 nucleotides) under Pongo abelii (Sumatran orangutan). Its description in RNAcentral is "lincRNA". The record is from RNAcentral. Lineage: Eukaryota; Metazoa; Chordata; Mammalia; Primates; Hominidae.